This 693-nucleotide ribosomal RNA is filed under the name uncultured bacterium. RNAcentral describes it as "bacterial SSU rRNA". It matches the Rfam family "Bacterial small subunit ribosomal RNA", at positions 32 to 715 of the family's 1533-position model. The record is from RNAcentral.
AACGCUAGCUACAGGCUUAACACAUGCAAGUCGAGGGGCAGCAUCAUCAAAGCUUGCUUUGAUGGAUGGCGACCGGCGCACGGGUGAGUAACACGUAUCCAACCUGCCGACAACACUGGGAUAGCCUUUCGAAAGAAAGAUUAAUACCGGAUGGUAUAAUUAUUCCGCAUGGGAUAAUUAUUAAAGAAUUUCGGUUGUCGAUGGGGAUGCGUUCCAUUAGGCAGUUGGCGGGGUAACGGCCCACCAAACCAACGAUGGAUAGGGGUUCUGAGAGGAAGGUCCCCCACAUUGGAACUGAGACACGGUCCAAACUCCUACGGGAGGCAGCAGUGAGGAAUAUUGGUCAAUGGACGAGAGUCUGAACCAGCCAAGUAGCGUGAAGGAUGACUGCCCUAUGGGUUGUAAACCUCUUUUAUACGGGAAUAAAGUGAGCCACGUGUGGCUUUUUGUAUGUACCGUAUGAAUAAGGAUCGGCUAACUCCGUGCCAGCAGCCGCGGUAAUACGGAGGAUCCGAGCGUUAUCCGGAUUUAUUGGGUUUAAAGGGAGCGUAGGCGGGUUGUUAAGUCAGUUGUGAAAGUUUGCGGCUCAACCGUAAAAUUGCAGUUGAUACUGGCGACCUUGAGUGCAACAGAGGUAGGCGGAAUUCGUGGUGUAGCGGUGAAAUGCUUAGAUAUCACGAAGAACUCCGAUUG